RNAcentral lists this ribosomal RNA (273 nucleotides) under uncultured bacterium. RNAcentral describes it as "partial 16S ribosomal RNA". It matches the Rfam family "Bacterial small subunit ribosomal RNA", at positions 524 to 796 of the family's 1533-position model. The record is from RNAcentral.
UACGAAGGGUGCAAGCGUUAAUCGGAAUUACUGGGCGUAAAGCGCGCGUAGGUGGUUCGUUAAGUUGGAUGUGAAAGCCCCGGGCUCAACCUGGGAACUGCAUCCAAAACUGGCGAGCUAGAGUAUGGCAGAGGGUGGUGGAAUUUCCUGUGUAGCGGUGAAAUGCGUAGAUAUAGGAAGGAACACCAGUGGCGAAGGCGACCACCUGGGCUAAUACUGACACUGAGAUCCCAAAGCGCCGCCAGCUUACCGCAUCAGCUGGCCCGGUAGUUC